This 299-nucleotide signal recognition particle RNA is filed under the name Saimiri boliviensis boliviensis (Bolivian squirrel monkey). RNAcentral's name for it is "Metazoan signal recognition particle RNA (ENSSBOG00000000599.1)". It matches the Rfam family "Metazoan signal recognition particle RNA". From Rfam's summary of the family: The signal recognition particle (SRP) is a universally conserved ribonucleoprotein. It is involved in the co-translational targeting of proteins to membranes. Lineage: Eukaryota; Metazoa; Chordata; Mammalia; Primates; Cebidae. The record is from RNAcentral.
GCUGGGUGCGGUGGCUCAUGCCUGUAGUCCCAGCUACUUGGGAGGCUGAGGUGGGAGGAUCGCUUGAGCCCAGGAGUUCUGGGCUGUAGUGCACUAUGCCGACUGGGUGUCCACACUAAGUUUGGCAUCAAUAUGGUGACCUCCUAGGAGCAGGUGACCACCAGGUUAUCUAAGAAGGGGUGAACCAGCCCAGGUCGGAAACAGAGGAGGUCAAAACUCCCGUGCUGAUCAGUAGUGGGAUCGCGCCUGUGAAUAGCUAAUGUACUCCAGCCUGGGCAACAUGGUGAGACCCUGUCUCU